Molecule: non-coding RNA, 100 nt
Organism: Fukomys damarensis (Damara mole-rat)
Lineage: Eukaryota; Metazoa; Chordata; Mammalia; Rodentia; Bathyergidae
Source: Rfam
UUCCUUCUGUGGCUUGUGUGAUGAGUGGAUUUUCCUGCCAGCGUGCGAGACGUGCUUCCCUCAAGCCUUGUUUAGACUACUGCACGUUACCUGCCUGGUG